Homo sapiens (human) is the source of this 4743-nucleotide long non-coding RNA. RefSeq lists it as uncharacterized. The transcript is spliced from 2 exons. The record is from RefSeq and is a predicted model, not a curated record. NCBI's taxonomy places the organism in Eukaryota, Metazoa, Chordata, Mammalia, Primates, Hominidae.
UUGGGGAGGCCUCAGGAAACUUAAAAUCAUGGCAGAAGGCACCUCUUCACAGGUUGGUAGGGGAGAGAAUGAGUACAAGCAGGGGAAAUGCCAGAUGCUUAUAAAACCAUCAGAUCUUUUGAGAGUCACUCACUACCAUGAGAACAGCAUGGGGGAAACUGCCCCCAUAAUUCAAUUACCUCCACCUGGUCUCUCCCUUGACACAUGGGGCUUAUGGGGAUUACAAUUCAAGAUGAGAUUUGGGUGGGGACACAAAGCCUAACCAUAUCAAUAUUCAUACAUCAUUUUCUUUAAAUUGAUACAACUAAAGUGACUGGAUGUUUGAUUUUACACUACAUUUGCCAUUUCAUCACUUCCCAGGGGAACUCAAGUUAUCUCAAAAUAUAGCACGAUUUCCCCAAUUAAGGUUUUUUUUUUUGGAAACAGGGUCUCAGUCUGUCACCCAGACUGGAGUUCAGUGGUACCAUCAUAGCUCACUGCAAGCUCAAACUCCUGGGCACAUGCAAUUGUCCCACUUCAGCCUCCCAAAUAGCUGGCACUACAGGCUCAUCCCAUGGUGCCCAGCUAAAAAUUUUUCUUUUCUUUUUUUUUUUUUUUUUUUUUUUUGUAGAGAUGGGUCUCACUUUGUUGCCCAGGUUAGUCUCAAACUUCUGGCUUCAAACAAUCUUCCCACCUCAGUCUCCCACAGCACAGGGAUUACCUGUGUGAGCCACUGCACCAGGCCCCACUCCAUUUCUUAAAUGCGUUUCUUCAUACUCUUAGAUGGUAGGUUGGGAGAGAAGUAGUCUGUAGCCUCUUUCACUGUCACUAGUUGGGAUAGACAACCAAAACACUUAAAGUCCUGGUGCUUUACUUAGAAUGUAUCAUUAUAGGUCCUGUUGUCUGUGGGUGAAUUAAUAAAGGAUCUACUAUCAUGGCGGGGGCGGGGGUUUGCUUUAUGAUGAAUGGUCUCACACAAAUUCUAUUUUUAGAAUGUCGUGACCGACACUAUUGUACACCAACAAACUACUGUUCCCAUGCAAACUCAGGAGAGACUUGCCACCAACAGCUGGUGUCCUUCACAGCUGUUGACUUCCAUACUGUUUUAAGACCUGUCAUUCUCAGAUAACUUAGACAUUUCAGAGGCAGAUAUGUACUUCCUUCUGAGACUAUGGCUUUUAAAUCUUUGUUAGUGUAAAAUGUCCUUCACAGACACAAUCUUACAUAGAACUCAAAUAUUAGAAACAUGCUGAAGUGGAGGUACCCUAGGAGAAGCAGUGAAGAAAAAACACACAGGUUGCCUCCUGGUCCCACCUCAUACCAUCUUUAAGGCUCUCUCUCAGAAGGCUAGCCCUCUGCAGAACCCAAUUUGAGGACUCCUGCUCUAGACUAUCUGUAGAACAAGCCACAUCACAUACAAUUGCCCAUAUUCUCUGAGACAUAUGAUGGAAAAAUGGUAGACUGCAGAAUCUGCCUUUUAGCAAAAAGCAUGCUGGUGUGUAUUGGCACAUCAUCUAACAGGAAUUCCCCUAGGACACACCAACCUGAGGGGAGAGCUGAGUUGCCUUAUGAUGGGACUGUCAUACAUACUGCUGGCUUCCCCAGUUUCUCAGGUGCUACUUCAAUUCCCAAGUUGCUGCAGGGCUGCCCCAGCUGCUGCUAUAUUUCUCUGAGGACUUGGUGUCACUACCUAAAGAAGUCAUGCAUUGCUCUCCUAGUGAAGAACUUGCUUCACCAUUGCUAUAGAUGCUGUUGUUGUUAUAUGUUGAUGCUGAUUUUCUACAUGGUCUCUUUACUACUAGAACAGCUAAGGAUCCUCUCAUUAUACAAGGAAUUUCUUUUUCCUAUUUUCUUUCCUUCUUCCAUUCAUUUAAUCCUCAGAAAAAGAGAAAAGGCUUUGAGUUCUGUCUUAUUCAAGUAGUGUUGAGCAUAUUUCUUGAUAAGUAACAAAUUCUUAGCAAAUGUAUAUUCUCUGUAAAUAUAUAUUCUUCUAAGAUAUUCACUUUUGGAGACAAAAAGCACACACUUCAGAGUGAAACAGCCAUCAUUUCAAACCUGUGUACUGCUUCCUGCAGGUGGUAUGAUUUGGGGCAGUUACUUCACCUCUGAGCUUCCAUUUCCUCGUUUUUAAAGCACGGUGGCAAUACCUACCUCAGGGUGGUUGUAGAAAGAAAUAAUAUGGUGUAUGUGACUGGUGUGGCAUGCAGUAAGUGCUCAAAAAAGGUAAGUUCCUUUCUUUUCCCCUUGAAGAAUGAAGUGCUGUACUACUUGCAGGGGGUCAGUCUGGCUCUGCCCUUCAGGGAGUCCCUGUGAGCCAGAGGUUCCAGCCAUUCCAUAGGAGCCAGCUGGGGAAGCCUCUCCAAAGAGCAGGGUAGGACCCACGGAUCUGGGUCCACCAUACUGUUCUUUACUGACUAAUGGGCUGUCCCUGGACACUUAUCUCAAGGAGUUUCCAGCAAUGUCAAGCAAAGAAAACAGGCCUUUGAUAAGAAUGAUACAAUGGAUUUUGGAGACUUGGGGGGAAGAGUGGGAGAGGGGUGAGGGAUAAAAGACAACAAAUACAGUGCAGCGUAUACUGCUCAGGUGAUGGGUACACCAGGAUCUCACAAAUCACCACUAAAGAACUUACUUAUGUAACCUAAUACUGCCUGUACUGCAAUACCUUAUGAAAAAAGAAAAAGAAAACAGGCCUAUGGUAAAGUUGCAAAAAUAGAACAGGGAGAGGGGUAGUGUUAACAAAAACUAUCAACUGUAGGAGUCAUGUUAACAUUGUUAACAAAAUUGGUGUAGAAGCAUGUUAUUUGUCCUCAACCCAGCAUCCAUUUCUUCAUCUUCUGGGAUUAUCGUUCUAACAUACUUUGAAAAACCAGUUCUCCUUACUUUUGGCUAUAUCGUUUGAUGGGGAUUAACCCUAUGCCUUGCUCCAGGGUAGAGCCUUGAUUGGCUAAAGCCAACAACAUGUUCAACCUUCUAGCUGCAACCGUUGGUUCAGAGAUGGGCAUAUGACUCAAUGAGAACCAGUGAAAUAUUUUUCUGGAGCUUAAGAGGAAAAACAGUUAAAUUUCUGUGGAGCUACCAUGAAAGUGUGCCUUCUUUUUGGAUGGGGUAAUAUGAAGCUGUAUGACAUGAACUACUACCACAAGAGGAAAGUCUAGAGCUGCUAGGCCAAGGGGUGAAACAUGAGGAUAAAGAAAGGGAGCUAAGAAAUUAAAUUAGGUGGGAGGAGUGUGAGAGGAUAAAGUCCAUAUUUAAUGUCUUUGUACUGCUGGAUCAAGCCUUAUCUUAAGCCUGUAUCCAUCUGGACUAUAAGAUUAGGUAAAGCAGUCAGUUUGAAAACAGUUUUCCUGAUAUUGCUGCUUAUUAACUGUGUAACACUUGGCAGGGCCUCAAUUUCCUCAUCUGAAAGAAAGGAUUUAAUAACAUCCUUUUAUAGUUGAAGUGAUAAAUAAUGAGUUAAUAUAUGUAAACCACCGUGCUCAAUUAAAUGACAUUUUUAACAUAAAAGUGGUUAGAAGUUCAUAUAGAAGUAUCAUCUAGAAGAGUGGUUCUCAAUUGAAGCAAUUUUGCCCCUCAGUGGACAUUUGGCAAAGUCUGGAGACAUUUUGGGUUGUUACAACUCAAGGCAUUUAGUGGGUAGGGGCCAAGGAUACUGCUCUACAUCCUAUGAUGCACAAUGCAACCUCCCAUAACAAGGAAUUAUCCAGCCCCAAACAUCACUAAUGCCAAAGAAACCCAGAUCUAGAGAACACAUCUACUGAUGUCAGUGAAGUGCUCCAGUUGAGGCUUCCAUUAUUUCUGCCAGAAUACUAUGGGGAAAUGAAAAAAGGACACUGGCACGAUGAGCAAGUACAUAAGACGGUAACACCAAGGGACAAAACAAAGGGAUUCCCUGGCUCUCUGCCAAGGCUAUGAGCAUUCUACCUGUGAAUUUCAGAGUAAAUGAAGGUUCUAAGAGCCCAGCUGAGGUAAUGCAUAGAUUAGGGAGCUCUAGAAAGUGUGAGCUUGAUUACCCAAUUAGAACUGAUCGCAGGAUAGCAACAAGAGGAUAAAUACUGUCCAGGUGGGUAUGGAGCAAGACAUAAUCUCAGAACAGCAUGUUCCCUGCAUCUUUAGGUAUUAUGAGGAGCAGCACAGUCAAAAUGUUGAGAAUUUGAUACCACAAGUAGAACAUCUUAAUAUCAUUAACGAUCUACUGACUUCCUGUAGGUAAUAUAUUGUUUUAUACUCAAACAUUAUACACAUACAUCUCUGUGCUGAGAGAAUUUGCAAAUUCUGGCAUGGCGAGGAAAUAGAACACUGCCUAGUUCAGUCUAACAGAUAUUCCUAGAUAGAGAGCAACAAGGUGAGAUGGUCCUAUAAAUCAUAAUCUGGCCCUUUGUAACAAGGAUAAUUAUCAUGAAGUUGCAGAAUACUUCCAGAUUUCAGCAUUAAAUGCUUCUUUUCUCACGUACCAGGUAGCUGGAGUGAAUUCAGUGUUAUGUACCCACCUCCUACACUUGGGGCAGAAUUGCUUAAAGUAACCCAACUGCGAACCUCCACGGACCAUCUAUCUACAUGGUGUCUGGGAGCCCCAUCCACCUACAGUGAGAGCUCAGUGGUUCUCAACCAGGGGUAAAUUUUCUACCAAGAGCACAUUUUUGGUCAUCACAACUGAAGGAGAAGGUGCUACAGGCAUUUGAUGAGUAGAGUAGAGGCCACUGAUGCUACUGAACAUGUUACAAUGCACAGGACAGCAUCCACAAUAAAAAAUUAUCUGGCCCCAAA